UUGUGGAGGAGGACGCCGAAGGUGGGGCUAAUGACUGGGGUGAAGUCGUAACAAGGUAGCCGUACCGGAAGGUGCGGCUGGAUCACCUCCUAACAGGGAGACAACAAAAUGUUUAAUAUUAUUAUUUUGUCACCUUAGGUCGAUCGGUAUCUCACGUUCUUAGUUUAUUAAGAAUUUCAUUUCCUAAGUUUUUCUAGGUCACACCCAUUAUUUUCCUGGGCCAUUAGCUCAGGUGGUUAGAGCGCACCCCUGAUAAGGGUGAGGUCCCUGGUUCAAGUCCAGGAUGGCCCAUAUCUCUAUGUUGGGGGUAUAGCUCAGUUGGUAGAGCGCCUGCUUUGCAAGCAGGAUGUCAGCGGUUCGAGUCCGCUUACCUCCACUGAUUACCACCUCUUCCAUAAUCUGUAGAAAGGAAAAUUUUGAGUUGUGACAAAAUUCUGAACGAAUCUAGCUUCCUAAUGAAAUCAUUAAGAUGCUGGACUCAUUGAAUUAAUUUCAUUGUUUUCAGAGAACCUUGACAACUGCAUAGAUUAUUUUUAAAGACAAUAAGCAUCUUUAAUGAUGCAGAUUUAUUAUUUGUGCGAAUGCAUUAAUAACAAUUCUAUUAAGCUGAUGCUUCAAUUAUGAAGUUAUUGGUCAAGCUACAA
RNAcentral lists this unclassified non-coding RNA (644 nucleotides) under uncultured Prochlorococcus sp. RNAcentral's name for it is "partial 16S-23S ribosomal RNA intergenic spacer; may also contain 16S ribosomal RNA and 23S ribosomal RNA". The stretch from base 304 to 376 matches the Rfam family "tRNA". The record is from RNAcentral. Lineage: Bacteria; Bacillati; Cyanobacteriota; Cyanophyceae; Synechococcales; Prochlorococcaceae.